This 470-nucleotide ribosomal RNA is filed under the name uncultured Anaerolineaceae bacterium. RNAcentral describes it as "bacterial SSU rRNA". It matches the Rfam family "Bacterial small subunit ribosomal RNA", at positions 897 to 1382 of the family's 1533-position model. Lineage: Bacteria; Bacillati; Chloroflexota; Anaerolineae; Anaerolineales; Anaerolineaceae. The record is from RNAcentral.
AAACUCAAAUGAAUUGACGGGUCCCCGCACAAGCAGCGGAGCGUGUGGUUUAAUUCGUUGCUACACGAAGAACCUUACCUGGGUUUGACAUAGCAGUGGUAGGGAGAGAAAUCGGACCGACCCUUCGGGGAGCUUGCACAGGUGCUGCAUGGCUGUCGUCAGCUCGUGUCGUGAGAUGUUCGGUUAAGUCCGCUAACGAGCGCAACCCUCACUGUGUGUUAUAUGUGUCACACGGGACUGCCGGUUUUAAGCCGGAGGAAGGUGGGAUGACGUCAAGUCAGCAUGGCCUUUAUAUCCUGGGCUACACACACGCUACAAUGGUCGGUACAAUAGGUUGCCAAGCCGCGAGGCGGAGCCAAUCCACAAAGCCGGCCUCAGUUCAGAUUGUAGGCUGCAACUCGCCUGCAUGAAGAUGGAGUUGCUAGUAACCGCAGGUCAGCAAUACUGCGGUGAAUACGUUCCCGGGUCUU